Molecule: ribosomal RNA, 243 nt
Filed under: uncultured Actinomycetales bacterium
Lineage: Bacteria; Bacillati; Actinomycetota; Actinomycetes; Actinomycetales
Description: partial 16S ribosomal RNA
Rfam family: Bacterial small subunit ribosomal RNA
Source: RNAcentral
UACUCGAGUGGCGAACGGGUGAGUAACACGUGGGUGAUCUGCCCUGCACUCUGGGAUAAGCCUGGGAAACUGGGUCUAAUACCGGAUAGGACCGCACUCUAGUGUGUGUGGUGGAAAGUUUUUUCGGUGUAGGAUGAGCCCGCGGCCUAUCAGCUUGUUGGUGGGGUAAUGGCCUACCAAGGCGGCGACGGGUAGCCGGACUGAGAGGUUGGUCGGCCACAUUGGGACUGAGAUACGGCCCAG